RNAcentral lists this ribosomal RNA (492 nucleotides) under uncultured bacterium. RNAcentral's name for it is "partial 16S ribosomal RNA". It matches the Rfam family "Bacterial small subunit ribosomal RNA", at positions 29 to 507 of the family's 1533-position model. The record is from RNAcentral.
AGUGAACGCUGGCGGUAGGCCUAACACAUGCAAGUCGAACGGCAGCACAGUAAGAGCUUGCUCUUACGGGUGGCGAGUGGCGGACGGGUGAGGAAUACAUCGGACUCUACUUUUUCGUGGGGGAUAACGUAGGGAAACUUACGCUAAUACCGCAUACGACCUACGGGUGAAAGCAGGGGAUCUUCGGACCUUGCGCGAUUGAAUGAGCCGAUGUCGGAUUAGCUAGUUGGCGGGGGAAAGGCCCACCAAGGCGACGAUCCGUAGCUGGUCUGAGAGGAUGAUCAGCCACACUGGAACUGAGACACGGUCCAGACUCCUACGGGAGGCAGCAGUGGGGAAUAUUGGACAAUGGGCGCAAGCCUGAUCCAGCCAUACCGCGUGGGUGAAGAAGGCCUUCGGGUUGUAAAGCCCUUUUGUUGGGAAAGAAAAGCAGCAGGUUAAUACCCCGCUGUUCUGACGGUACCCAAAGAAUAAGCACCGGCUAACUUCGUG